GCCGAUAUAGUUUAAUGGCAAAAUGGAGCCAUGGUAAGGCUCAGCUCCCAGUUCAAUCCUGGGUAUCGGCACCA
This 74-nucleotide transfer RNA is filed under the name Bacillota bacterium. RNAcentral describes it as "tRNA-Thr". It matches the Rfam family "tRNA". Rfam says of the family: Transfer RNA (tRNA) molecules are approximately 80 nucleotides in length. RNAcentral also lists the same sequence under 1 other name. The record is from RNAcentral. Lineage: Bacteria; Bacillati; Bacillota.